GCCAAAUUGCUCCACUAUACUUUCAUAUUGUGGUGGUUAUGUUUUUUGGGUUUAGGCUGCUUUUAUGAGCUGAAAAAUUGUGAAAGUACGUAGCUUUACUCCGGAAGCCAGUAUAAGCUAUGAACCCACGAGGAGGAAAAAACAAUUUUAAUGUAUAUUGCUUUAAGUGCGGUAAGUCACCACGAAGUAUAUGCAGUCUUUACUUCCGACCCGGCAUAGACCAUGAGCUCUCGAGAAAAACUGACCGCAUCAGAAGGAACAAACUCCAGACACACUCUCCUUAACUGUAACAUUCGUGUGACAACAACAACUUCCUUGUUGAAGUCAGACCAAUUCUGGACACAGUGGUAGUGAGAGAGAACGGUAUGGCAGUACCCUUCACUUGCUCUCAGUUCCUCUUUGUCCUCUGCUCAUUCUGGUUGUGCUUGACAAGCCUUUCGGCUCAGCGCUAUACCGUGGGAGCUCUUUAGCUGACUGAGGCCGGAAGCAGCCGCGUUGGGUUGCAGGGAGGUGCGGCAGGAGAGGCACGGGCGGGAACCUGUACUGCACGCAGGUGGGCGUGGUGAGCCUUGCACUGAGAGCAGCAAGGGGCUUAGCACCUGGGCCAGCAGCUAUGGAAGGUGUGCUGGAUUCCCCCAGCAGUGCUGGCCCACGAGUUCUGUGUUCAAUUUCUUGCUGGGCCUUAACUGCCUCCUGGCAGGCUAUUUGUAUGGCUCAGGACCAGCAGCCCGUCAUGCCUGAGUCUCCCCAUCUUUUUGUGGCCUCCUGUGCCGCUUGAGUUUCCCAGAUGAGCGCUGCCCCCUCUUUCAGGGCACCUGGUCCCAUCCGCUGCCCAAGGGCUGAGGAGUGGGGGGGUGCGUGGUGUGGGACUCAUAGGUAGCUCCACCUACAGCCCCAGUGUGUGAUUCCACUGGGUGAAGCCAGUUGGGCUCCUGAGUCUAGUGGGGACUUAGAGAAUCUUUGUCUAGCUAAGGGAUUGUAAAUACGCCAAUCAGCACACUGCGUCUAGCUCAGGGUUUGUGGAUGCACCAGUCGGCACUAUCUGGCUCAAGGUUUGUAAAUGCACCUAUCAGCCCUCUUGUCUGCAAAGUUUGUAAAUGCACCAAUCAGCGUUCUGUCUACAAGGUUUGUAAAUGCACCAGUCAGCACUCUGGCUACAAGGUUUGUAAAUGCAUCAAUCAGCACUCUGUCUAGCUCAGGGUUUGUAAAUACACCAACUGACACUCUGUGUCUAGCUAAUCUAGUGGGGAGGUGGAGAACUUUUGUGUCUAGCUCAGGAAUUGUAAAUGCACCAAUCAGCACCCUGUCAAAACGGAC
RNAcentral lists this long non-coding RNA (1317 nucleotides) under Homo sapiens (human). RNAcentral's name for it is "HSALNT0332971". The record is from RNAcentral. Lineage: Eukaryota; Metazoa; Chordata; Mammalia; Primates; Hominidae.